RNAcentral lists this ribosomal RNA (996 nucleotides) under Escherichia coli. Its description in RNAcentral is "partial 23S ribosomal RNA". It matches the Rfam family "Bacterial large subunit ribosomal RNA", at positions 1917 to 2907 of the family's 2925-position model. Lineage: Bacteria; Pseudomonadati; Pseudomonadota; Gammaproteobacteria; Enterobacterales; Enterobacteriaceae. The record is from RNAcentral.
GCCCCGGUAAACGGCGGCCGUAACUAUAACGGUCCUAAGGUAGCGAAAUUCCUUGUCGGGUAAGUUCCGACCUGCACGAAUGGCGUAAUGAUGGCCAGGCUGUCUCCACCCGAGACUCAGUGAAAUUGAACUCGCUGUGAAGAUGCAGUGUACCCGCGGCAAGACGGAAAGACCCCGUGAACCUUUACUAUAGCUUGACACUGAACAUUGAGCCUUGAUGUGUAGGAUAGGUGGGAGGCUUUGAAGUGUGGACGCCAGUCUGCAUGGAGCCGACCUUGAAAUACCACCCUUUAAUGUUUGAUGUUCUAACGUUGGCCCGUAAUCCGGGUUGCGGACAGUGUCUGGUGGGUAGUUUGACUGGGGCGGUCUCCUCCUAAAGAGUAACGGAGGAGCACGAAGGUUGGCUAAUCCUGGUCGGACAUCAGGAGGUUAGUGCAAUGGCAUAAGCCAGCUUGACUGCGAGCGUGACGGCGCGAGCAGGUGCGAAAGCAGGUCAUAGUGAUCCGGUGGUUCUGAAUGGAAGGGCCAUCGCUCAACGGAUAAAAGGUACUCCGGGGAUAACAGGCUGAUACCGCCCAAGAGUUCAUAUCGACGGCGGUGUUUGGCACCUCGAUGUCGGCUCAUCACAUCCUGGGGCUGAAGUAGGUCCCAAGGGUAUGGCUGUUCGCCAUUUAAAGUGGUACGCGAGCUGGGUUUAGAACGUCGUGAGACAGUUCGGUCCCUAUCUGCCGUGGGCGCUGGAGAACUGAGGGGGGCUGCUCCUAGUACGAGAGGACCGGAGUGGACGCAUCACUGGUGUUCGGGUUGUCAUGCCAAUGGCACUGCCCGGUAGCUAAAUGCGGAAGAGAUAAGUGCUGAAAGCAUCUAAGCACGAAACUUGCCCCGAGAUGAGUUCUCCCUGACUCCUUGAGAGUCCUGAAGGAACGUUGAAGACGACGACGUUGAUAGGCCGGGUGUGUAAGCGCAGCGAUGCGUUGAGCUAACCGGUACUAAUGA